This 482-nucleotide ribosomal RNA is filed under the name uncultured bacterium. RNAcentral describes it as "partial 16S ribosomal RNA". It matches the Rfam family "Bacterial small subunit ribosomal RNA", at positions 30 to 507 of the family's 1533-position model. The record is from RNAcentral.
AUUGAACGCUGGCGGCAUGCCUUACACAUGCAAGUCGAACGGUAACAGGUCUUCGGAUGCUGACGAGUGGCGAACGGGUGAGUAAUACAUCGGAACGUGCCCGAUCGUGGGGGAUAACGAGGCGAAAGCUUUGCUAAUACCGCAUACGAUCUACGGAUGAAAGCGGGGGAUCUUCGGACCUCGCGCGGACGGAGCGGCCGAUGGCAGAUUAGGUAGUUGGUGGGAUAAAAGCUUACCAAGCCGACGAUCUGUAGCUGGUCUGAGAGGAUGAUCAGCCACACUGGGACUGAGACACGGCCCAGACUCCUACGGGAGGCAGCAGUGGGGAAUUUUGGACAAAGGGCGAAAGCCUGAUCCGGCCAUGCCGCGUGCAGGAUGAAGGCCUUCGGGUUGUAAACUGCUUUUGUACGGAACGAAAAGCCUCUUUCUAAUAAAGAGGGGUCAUGACGGUACCGUAAGAAUAAGCACCGGCUAACUACGUG